Molecule: ribosomal RNA, 483 nt
Filed under: uncultured bacterium
Lineage: Bacteria
Description: partial 16S ribosomal RNA
Rfam family: Bacterial small subunit ribosomal RNA
Source: RNAcentral
GACGAACGCUGGCGGCGUGCUUAACACAUGCAAGUCGAACGCUGAAGCUCAGCUUUUGUUGGGUGGAUGAGUGGCGAACGGGUGAGUAACACGUGAGUAACCUGCCUCCUUCUUUGGGAUAACGCCCGGAAACGGGUGCUAAUACUGGAUAUUCACUGGUCUUCGCAUGGGGGUUGGUGGAAAGGGUUUUUCUGGUGGGGGAUGGGCUCGCGGCCUAUCAGCUUGUUGGUGGGGUGAUGGCCUACCAAGGCUUUGACGGGUAGCCGGCCUGAGAGGGUGACCGGGCACAUUGGGACGGAGAUGCGGCCCAGACUAGUACGGGGGGGAGCAGUGGGGAAUAUUGCAGAAUGGGCGCAAGAGUGAUGCAGCGACGGCGCGGGAGGGAUGGAGGCCUUCGGGUUGUGAACCUCUUUCGCUCAUGGUCAAGCCGCAACAAUGGUUGUGGUGAGGGUAGUGGGUAAAGAAGCGCCGGCUAACUACGUG